Halichondria panicea is the source of this 485-nucleotide long non-coding RNA. RefSeq lists it as uncharacterized. The transcript is spliced from 3 exons. Lineage: Eukaryota; Metazoa; Porifera; Demospongiae; Suberitida; Halichondriidae. The record is from RefSeq and is a predicted model, not a curated record.
GGAUGUGGGGGGUAUUGGAGGUGGGGUGUCCGUAGGGAGUGAGGUCACCGUAGCCAAGCUGUGUGGGCGUGUGUGUGUGUGUGGGGGGUAGUGACAAACAACAUAAUGAACCAGUAAUUGAUCCCGCAUACAUACAGUCAAAAAAUUAUACAACAUUUAUUUCAUGUAUGCAUGCUAAGGAUAUACCACAUUCACUAGUUAUCUACAAGAACAGAAGAAAUUAAAUAGGCAAAUGAAAAUGUACAGUAUACACUCACAUCAUCGACUAGGAACAGCACCACGUUGGGUGGUGUGGCAGCCAUGACGACGGCUAGCAGAGAGACCAACAGCAAACUCUCCAGUGGUUGGAGGCACACAAACUGAAAUGAAGAUAGACCCCAACAUAGCUGCUAACCCAGCGUACGAGGCAGUCAAGUGUGACCAGGAGGACCACACCUACGAUGUCGUCAGUGAGGGGGUGGCUGGCUUCAAGACAGAGGAAAGGC